This 2836-nucleotide long non-coding RNA is filed under the name Homo sapiens (human). RNAcentral describes it as "HSALNT0040031". Lineage: Eukaryota; Metazoa; Chordata; Mammalia; Primates; Hominidae. The record is from RNAcentral.
CAGCCAGCCAGGCUUCUUACCCAUUUAAAGUUACAGAAUAGACUGAGAUCGUUUCGGCCCCAAGACCUCUUCCCGCUGAAAUGUGGGUGUAGUUGGAGAGUAGCUGGGACAGACAGGAGGGUCCGUAAGUGGUGGGGGUGAAGAGGUGAGAGAGACUGGUGAGGGUCUCACUGAGGUCUGUGAGUUUGUAGGUGUUUCUGGGGUGUGAGAGACCGACUCCCGCUGAAAUCUGGGCAUAGUUGGAGAGUAGCUGGGACAGACAGGAGAGUCAUUGAUGGCUGGGGGUGAGCUGCUGGAUGAUGGCAGUAAGAACAUAUGGUAUAUUAUUCAUGAAUGAGGUGACUGUGAAGAAUCUCCAGAGGAGGACACGGGAGAGCACAAUGACAUGAGUGAUUGUCCUGCUUGGUUAGGAAAGGGAAAUGUAAAGUUGUGAAAUUCUGUUGAUGAGGGAUGUGAGAGUGGUGAAGUCCUGCGGGAUGAUGUAGAGUACUUCCACAUCCCUGGUGAGGAGCUGCCCCUUGGGUCUGAAUUUCUGGGAGGGGAGAGGGAGAAGCUGGGUGAGGCAGGCAUGAAUCUUGAGGAGUCAGGGCUGAGGGACCGCUCAUAAUCUCCCGAGACCUGUGAGUCUCUGGGAGACUCAUAGGUACAUGGGGCUGACUCCCGCAGAAACCUGGGGAUGGUUGGAGAGUAACUGGGAGACACAGGAGAGUCCAUGACGGCUGGGGGUGAAGAGAGGAAAGACAUAGGCGAGGAGCACCGUGAGGCUCGUGAGUUUGUAGGUGAUUCCUGGGUGUUGGGGGCUGACUCCAGAUGAAAUCUGGAGUUUUUUGGAGAGUAGCUGGGAGACACGGGAGACUCCCCGAGAGCUGGGGGUGAGCUGCUGGGUGAUGGCAGUAAGAACAUGUGGUAUAUUAUUGAUGAACGUGGUGACUCUAAAGAAUCCCCAGAGGAGGACACGGGAGAGCCCAAUGGCUUCAUUGGUUGCCCAUCACGGUGAGGAAAGGGAAAUGGGAGCUUGUGGGAUUCUGCUGAUGACAGAGGUGAGUGUGGUGAAGCCCUAGAGGAUGGUGAAUGGUAGCUCCAGGUCCCUGGUGAGGAGCUUCCUCUUAAGUCUGAGUUUCUGGGAGGGGAGAAGGAGAAGCUGGGUGAAGCUAGCAUGGAUUUUGGGGAGUCCGGGCUAGGGGACCGUUCAUAAGAAGAGCCAGACAAGACCCCACUGUUCUUAGACGCAGACAUGAUUAGGAAACCUGCAGCUCCCAGGGACCCCUACCAAUUUUCUAACCCCCAGAAUGAAGGAGUUUGUGUGUGUGUUUAUGUGUGUGUGUGUUUUUGUCUGUUGUGACAUAUGUGCUCCUUAAGAAAAUGGAAAUGAACAAACCAAUGUGACAGACAGAGAUUUACUUACCCAAGUGUACUGUCCUAUCCUCUGAAUCUACUUCCAAGUCGUAAGACGCUGUAAGCUCCAGGUCCACGCUGAGCCGGCAGAACGCUCCAGCCGCUGCUCUGCUCUGCGAAGAUCUGAGCUCGAGGCCCCCCAACAGGGCGGGUUUAAAUAGCCUUGGGCGCAGCCUGGCAGCGGAAAGGGCGGAGCUUCACUCCUCCUUUCCAUGAGUCACCCCCAACUUUCCCAGGCUACACCUCGUAGGAAACUGUUCCCCUGAUUUGAUGUCUUGUGACAUAUUUGGGACAAUCUGAGAACUUACAAGCUUUGUUGCUCAACUACAUUAUGAAUUAAAUGCACUUAAACACUGAAAACCAUGUAGUGGUUCUGUGGUUCUCACAUUGUGGUUUUGACACCAGCAGCAUCCUUGCAACACACAGACCCCGGAGAUCCACAGAUCUGUGUGGUAACAAGCCCUCCCACUGACCCUGAUGCAUGGCAGCUUAAGAAUUACCCGUAUAAGUGAAAAGACUUUUAAGAAAAAGUGGUGAUAUACGUUGUGUAAAUAUUCUUCUGCUCUGGAACAAUGUAGAGACUCCGGGGCCAGUUGGGUGGAACAUUUAUUGGAUGAGGGUGCUUGGGUUAGUAAUAUCAAGGUGUGGCUCCAGAUAAUUCAAUCAUCUAAUUAAGUUUGCAGUUAUGCUAAUCUGUUUUAAAAUUCAGUUUGUGUAAAUUCUUUUACUCAGACUGAGAAUGGCAAUGCCUCAACCCCAAUUUCCAGGGAGGGUUGAGAGCCUCAGGUUGAGUUGAUCACCAAUAGCCUAUGGUUUUACCCAUGAUGCCUAUAGAAUGAGAUCUCCAUAAAAACUGAAAAGGACUGGGUUUAGAGAGCUUCUAGAUAAAACUUCCUGGAAGGUAGUGUGCCCCUCCCCCCAUGCAGGGCCCCAUCAAUCUUUUUUCUGAAUUUUUUGCAAUAUCCGCUAUAAUAAAAUGGUAAAUGUAAGUGUUUCCCUGCGUGCUGUGAGCUGUUCGAGCAAAUUAAUGCAACUAAAUCAGGGGUGGUGAAAACCUGAUUUAUAGCCAGUUGGUCAGAAGCACAGGUAAAACAACCUAGGGCUUGCCAUUGGUAUUAGAGUGGGAGGCCAGUCUUGUGGAAGUCAGCCCUGUGUAAUCUAACGCUAUGUCCAUGUAGAUAGCCUCAUAAUUGAAUUAGAAGACACCCAACUGAUUUCCAGAGCAGAAUGCAUUGUGUGCUUGACUGACCGAGAGAAAUCCCCAGACAUGCUGUCACAGAAAUCUUCUGUGUUAAUUGUUGUGAUAUGAGAGCGGAGGAAAAACAGUUUUUGUUUUUUUCACUCAGCCUAAAAUGUAAACGGGUCUAUUUUCUCACACUAUUGAGGAUCACUUGAUUUACAAUAAAAAUGUUUAGUCUUUGAUAUAUAAAAAGGAUGUUGG